GAUGAACGCUGGCGGCGUGCCUAAUACAUGCAAGUCGAGCGAACAGACGAGGAGCUUGCUCCUCUGACGUUAUCGGCGGACGGGUGAGUAACACGUGGAUAACCUACCUAUCAGACUGGGAUAACUUCGGGAAACCGGAGCUAAUACCGGAUAAUAUAUUGAACCGCAUGGUUCAAUAGUGAAAGACGGUUUUGCUGUCACUUAUAGAUUGAUCCGCGCCGCAUUAGCUAGUUGGUAAGGUAACGGCUUACCAAGGCAACGAUGCGUAGCCGACCUGAGAGGAUGAUCGGCAGCAGGGCAGCUAAGACACGGACCAGAACCCUACGGGAGGCAGGAGUAGGAAAUCUACGGGAAGGAGCGAAAGCGUGUCGGAGCAACGCGGCGUGAGUGAUGAAGGUCUUCGGAUCGUAAAACAUUGUUAUUAGGGAAGAAUAAAUGUGUAAGUAACGAUGCGAGUAUGGACGGUCCCGAAUCAGAAAGCCACGGCUACCUCCGU
RNAcentral lists this ribosomal RNA (496 nucleotides) under uncultured bacterium. RNAcentral's name for it is "partial 16S ribosomal RNA". It matches the Rfam family "Bacterial small subunit ribosomal RNA", at positions 28 to 506 of the family's 1533-position model. The record is from RNAcentral.